RNAcentral lists this long non-coding RNA (463 nucleotides) under Ananas comosus (pineapple). RNAcentral describes it as "long non-coding RNA (ACOM_LNC039734)". The record is from RNAcentral. Lineage: Eukaryota; Viridiplantae; Streptophyta; Magnoliopsida; Poales; Bromeliaceae.
UCGUUAUUAACACUAUGGAUAGAAUAAUUAUAAUUUUUGUAAUAUCUAUUACGAUGGUAUAACUGGUCGUUAUUGUAAAAUAGAGCGGUUAGUAAUAUAACUAAUUAAAUACAGCGGUAAAUAAUGUGGUCGUUAAUAGUAUAUAACGACUAGCAGUUUAUUUUGGCCGUCACUAUUUUUAACGAAGGAAGUUUUUACGACGGGUCACGACGGAUGGAAUUUCUAUCGUUACUGACCUUUAACGACGGAAAUAUGGGUUAUCAACGACGGUAUUUCCUUUCGUUAAAUAAAGUAUUUCCUGCAGUAUAAAUUAUAAGAAAUGAACGAAAUAGUGAUAGAACCCUGACGAAGGAGAGCUAAAUACAAAAAUUUGAAAUGUUGAGAGGAUAAAAUAUAAAUUUUUUAAAAUUAAGAUGAAAAAAUAAAAAAAUAAAUAUUUAUAAGAAGUUUUUUUAUAAUUUAG